RNAcentral lists this transfer RNA (66 nucleotides) under Anopheles koliensis. Its description in RNAcentral is "tRNA-Tyr". It matches the Rfam family "tRNA". From Rfam's summary of the family: Transfer RNA (tRNA) molecules are approximately 80 nucleotides in length. The record is from RNAcentral. Lineage: Eukaryota; Metazoa; Arthropoda; Insecta; Diptera; Culicidae.
GAUUAAAUGGCUGAAUAUUAGGCGAUAAAUUGUAAAUUUAUUUAUGGGAGUUGCUCUCUUUAAUCA